GGGGCCGAUCGGUUUCGACGGUAGUUGUCCAGCGAGGGGAAGCGGGCCGAGAAGCCAGAGUCAUCUCGUAAACGUUCUCUGGAAACCAAUAAGUGCCGAACCUAAGCGCACUGACUUCGCUCUCGCUGCCUGAUCAGCGAUAGCAGUCUGGAACCCCGGGAGUGCUCCUGACCCGGAUCGUUCCAUCAUCUAAGGAGCCACUGCUGCCGACCCUCGUCAUCGGGGAAGGAUGAACACCUCAGAGUGACUGAGUCCGUCGACGACG
This 265-nucleotide transfer-messenger RNA is filed under the name Brachybacterium sp. Its description in RNAcentral is "partial transfer-messenger RNA". It matches the Rfam family "transfer-messenger RNA", at positions 1 to 267 of the family's 374-position model. Rfam says of the family: Bacterial tmRNA, also known as 10Sa RNA or SsrA, is named for its dual tRNA and mRNA-like properties. Its role is to liberate the mRNA from a stalled ribosome. To accomplish this part of the tmRNA is used as a reading frame that ends in a translation stop signal. The record is from RNAcentral. Lineage: Bacteria; Bacillati; Actinomycetota; Actinomycetes; Micrococcales; Dermabacteraceae.